AAUGCAUCUAUCUAACUCACAUUGUUAACCAAAGUAUCGACCCCCCACUAUUAUAUAUGAUAUAAGGUUCAUAUUAUUUAAAAAUAAAUAAGCAUGAAAUUAAAGAUGCCGCACCUAGUUUGCUUAACAAGAUGGAAAUACUCAAAGCAUAGGUGAGUUGUCAAGUCCUAUAAUGAAAAAGGAAAAGAUAAAAAAAAUUUAGAAAAAGAAAAAGCAAUGUAACAUUGAAAGUUCAUCUAACAUGGUUAGAUAUAUAUCUCCCUAUAUAGCAAUAAUUCAUUUCAUUACUCUUUCUGUCCCUUUUAAUUCCUCCCUCAAGCUUCUCCAAUCUUCUCCAUCCAACUCCAAUUCAAUUGUUGAAGGCCCAAGGAAACAUGGCAACCGAGGCACCAAGUUGGGCUGAUCAAUGGGGUGCUGGUGGUUUUGGUGCAAUGGAAGAUGAUAGCACUAGAUCUCAAAAUGAUACGAGCAAGAACAAGAAUUCAGGUGCUAAGGGUGGUUUGAGCAAAGCCAAAGCAACUGCAUCAAAUUGUGUCAAGUGGUUAAAAAGUUUGUGCAAGAGAAAGACUAUGCCAUCCAAGCAACUGGGUUAAUUAAUCAUAUAUUCUGUAUUCAUUUUUAAAUUAAGCACUAUAUAAUUUAGCAAUAUCAGUUAGUUUUGUAUUUUUCUUUCAGUUUUGUUGAAUUAAAGGUGUUUUUCUUUUGGUGCUG
Long non-coding RNA from Trifolium pratense (red clover), 711 nucleotides. RefSeq lists it as uncharacterized. Lineage: Eukaryota; Viridiplantae; Streptophyta; Magnoliopsida; Fabales; Fabaceae. The transcript has 2 exons. The record is from RefSeq and is a predicted model, not a curated record.